RNAcentral lists this ribosomal RNA (501 nucleotides) under uncultured bacterium. Its description in RNAcentral is "partial 16S ribosomal RNA". It matches the Rfam family "Bacterial small subunit ribosomal RNA", at positions 30 to 523 of the family's 1533-position model. The record is from RNAcentral.
AUUGAACGCUGGCGGCAGGCUUAACACAUGCAAGUCGAGCGGAGAGAGGUAGCUUGCUACUGAUCUUAGCGGCGGACGGGUGAGUAAUGCUUAGGAAUCUGCCUAUUAGUGGGGGACAACAUUUCGAAAGGGAUGCUAAUACCGCAUACGUCCUACGGGAGAAAGCAGGGGAUCUUCGGACCUUGCGCUAAUAGAUGAGCCUAAGUCGGAUUAGCUAGUUGGUGGGGUAAAGGCCUACCAAGGCGACGAUCUGUAGCGGGUCUGAGAGGAUGAUCCGCCACACUGGGACUGAGACACGGCCCAGACUCCUACGGGAGGCAGCAGUGGGGAAUAUUGGACAAUGGGCGGAAGCCUGAUCCAGCCAUGCCGCGUGUGUGGAGAAGGCCUUAUGGUUGUAAAGCACUUUAAGCGAGGAGGAGGCUACUUUAGUUAAUACCUAGAGAUAGUGGACGUUACUCGCAGAGUAAGCACCGGCUAACUCUGUGCCAGCCGCCGCCGUAA